UACAGAGGGGGCAAGCGUUCUUCGGAAUUACUGUGCGUAAAGGGCGCGUAGGCGGCCUUCUAAGUCGAACGUGAAAUCCCCGGGCUCAACCCGGGAACUGCGUCCGAUACUGGAAGGCUUGAAUCCGGGAGAGGGAUGCGGAAUUCCAGGUGUAGCGGUGAAAUGCGUAGAUAUCUGGAGGAACACCGGUGGCGAAGGCGGCAUCCUGGACCGGCAUUGACGCUGAGGCGCGAAAGCCAGGGGAGCAAACGGG
Molecule: ribosomal RNA, 253 nt
Filed under: uncultured bacterium
Lineage: Bacteria
Description: partial 16S ribosomal RNA
Rfam family: Bacterial small subunit ribosomal RNA
Source: RNAcentral